UGGGGAAUAUUGCGCAAUGGGGGAAACCCUGACGCAGCCACGCCGCGUGAGUGAUGAAGGCCUUCGGGUUGUAAAGCUCUGUUGGGAGGGAUGAAGAUAGUUUACUAUUUGACGGUACCUCGCAAGAAAGCACCGGCUAACUCCGUGCCAGCAGCCGCGGUAAUACGGAGGGUGCAAGCGUUGCUUGGAAUCACUGGGCGUAAAGCGAGCGCAGGCGGUAUGAUAAGUUGGGUGUGAAAGCCCGGGGCUCAACCCCGGAACUGCAUCCAAAACUGUCACACUAGAGUACUGGAGAGGAAAGCGGAAUUCCUGGUGUAGAGGUGAAAUUCGUAGAUAUCAGGAGGAACAUCCGUGGCGAAGGCGGCUUUCUGGCCAAGUACUGACGCUCAUGCUCGAAAGCGUGGGGAGCAAACAGGAUUAGAGACCCUGGUAGUCCACGCCGUAAACGAUGAAUGCUAGUUGUUGGAGGUCUAUACCCCUUCAGUGACGCAGCUAAC
Molecule: ribosomal RNA, 497 nt
Filed under: uncultured marine bacterium
Lineage: Bacteria
Description: bacterial SSU rRNA
Rfam family: Bacterial small subunit ribosomal RNA
Source: RNAcentral